Molecule: transfer RNA, 66 nt
Filed under: bovine gut metagenome
Rfam family: tRNA
About the family: Transfer RNA (tRNA) molecules are approximately 80 nucleotides in length. Their secondary structure includes four short double-helical elements and three loops (D, anti-codon, and T loops). Further hydrogen bonds mediate the characteristic L-shaped molecular structure. tRNAs have two regions of fundamental functional importance: the anti-codon, which is responsible for specific mRNA codon recognition, and the 3' end, to which the tRNAs corresponding amino acid is attached (by aminoacyl-tRNA synthetases). tRNAs cope with the degeneracy of the genetic code in two manners: having more than one tRNA (with a specific anti-codon) for a particular amino acid; and 'wobble' base-pairing, i.e. permitting non-standard base-pairing at the 3rd anti-codon position.
Source: RNAcentral
GGUGUGGCUCAGAUGGUAGAGCGCUUGGUUUGGGACCAAGAUGCCGCAGGUUCGAAUCCUGUCACU